This 722-nucleotide long non-coding RNA is filed under the name Rattus norvegicus (Norway rat). Its description in RNAcentral is "long non-coding RNA NONRATT009490". The record is from RNAcentral. Lineage: Eukaryota; Metazoa; Chordata; Mammalia; Rodentia; Muridae.
CCCAGGAUUCAUCUAAGCCAUACUGGCUAAGGCUUAUAGCCUAACAGCCAUGGUUAACCUGAAGCUCGGUACCAGACACCGUGUACAGGGAGUCUGGUUCGGUGAUCCCCAGCGAUGUCCCCACCCUUUUUUCUGUUGUGCCACUCUGAGAGUUACGAGGACCAGCAGGAAACAGACACCACUCAGAAAAGGGAAAUUACCCCUGCAUUCUAUCUCUGGGAAGUGUCCUAUUAGAAAGGAGCCACUGACUCAGAGCCCCAGACAAAAGCUCCGGACCAGAAUGACACAGAACAAGUUGGAAAACAUGUCCGUAUAUCCCUGAGUCCAGGCUGUUCAGGAGGAAAAGAAGGGCAAAGAACGGUGCCUGGAGCCGAGCUUGGGAAAAAUCUAGCUGCCUGGAUUCAAAGAGGAUGAGGAAGAUCGGAAGCCAGAGGCCGGGUGGGCAGCACAUCUCCCUCAACCUGGAGGCCAAGGGGCUGCGACCUUCCCCUAGCAGCCAUGGAUGAUCAAUGUACAGCGUACCCCUAAGAGUUGCUCCGCCGGGUGGGCGGCCGGGUCGUGGAGUUGGCUGCAGCUCCAGGCCUGCCACGCCCCAGCGACCGGGAGCGCAAAGAGUCCCAGGGGGCCAGGGCUAGGCCGUGUGGGGCGUGGCCGGGAAGGGGCGCCCCGGGCGCCGCUCAAAGGCCGCUAAUGUUCGCUAAUCCCGGCCUUUCAGGCGGCCG